AAAGCAGGGGAUCGCAAGACCUUACGCUUUUGGAGCGGCCGAUGUCUGAUUAGCUAGUUGGUGAGGUAAAGGCUUACCAAGGCUUCGAUCAGUAGCUGGUCUGAGAGGACGACCAGCCACACUGGGACUGAGACACGGCCCAGACUCCUACGGGAGGCAGCAGUGGGGAAUUUUGGACAAUGGGCGAAACCCUGAUCCAGCCAUGCCGCGUGAGUGAAGAAGGCCUUCGGGUUGUAAAGCUCUUUCAGCCGGAAAGAAACGGUUACGAUUAAUACCUGUAACUAAUGACGGUACCGAAAGAAGAAGCACCGGCUAACUACGUGCCAGCAGCCGCGGUAAUACGUAGGGUGCGAGCGUUAAUCGGAAUUACUGGGCGUAAAGGGUGCGCAGGUGGUUUUGUAAGUCAGAUGUGAAAUCCCCGGGCUUAACCUGGGAACUGCGUUUGAAACUACAAAGCUAGA
Molecule: ribosomal RNA, 461 nt
Filed under: uncultured ammonia-oxidizing beta proteobacterium
Lineage: Bacteria; Pseudomonadati; Pseudomonadota; Betaproteobacteria
Description: bacterial SSU rRNA
Rfam family: Bacterial small subunit ribosomal RNA
Source: RNAcentral